This 443-nucleotide ribosomal RNA is filed under the name uncultured Oscillospiraceae bacterium. RNAcentral's name for it is "bacterial SSU rRNA". It matches the Rfam family "Bacterial small subunit ribosomal RNA", at positions 338 to 795 of the family's 1533-position model. Lineage: Bacteria; Bacillati; Bacillota; Clostridia; Eubacteriales; Oscillospiraceae. The record is from RNAcentral.
CCUACGGGGGGCUGCAGUGGGGAAUAUUGGGCAAUGGGCGAAAGCCUGACCCAGCAACGCCGCGUGAAGGAAGAAGGCCCUCGGGUUGUAAACUUCUUUUAAGAGGGACGAAACAAAUGACGGUACCUCUUGAAUAAGCCACGGCUAACUACGUGCCAGCAGCCGCGGUAAUACGUAGGUGGCAAGCGUUAUCCGGAUUUACUGGGUGUAAAGGGCGUGUAGGCGGGAGUGCAAGUCAGAUGUGAAAAUUAUGGGCUCAACCCAUAACCUGCAUUUGAAACUGUUCUUCUUGAGUGAUGGAGAGGCAGGCGGAAUUCCGUGUGUAGCGGUGAAAUGCGUAGAUAUACGGAGGAACACCAGUGGCGAAGGCGGCCUGCUGGACAUUAACUGACGCUGAGGCGCGAAAGCGUGGGGAGCAAACAGGAUUAGAUACCCCUGUAGUC